AAAACUAUAAAUACACAUGUCAACUUUACACUGUCUACAAAGCCUCUAAUGGAGUCCAUCUAUACCAUUAUCAAAAUAUAGGUUAAAGACUUGACAAAGCCCCGAAUUAACCUAGAGCUCACUAACUGUUGUUGAGCAUCCUGUGCUUCUAUUGGUGAGUUCUACUAGCUGAGUGCAUAUAUCUGCAGCAUGAAAUGCAGUGUCCCCCC
Molecule: long non-coding RNA, 209 nt
Filed under: Capsicum annuum
Lineage: Eukaryota; Viridiplantae; Streptophyta; Magnoliopsida; Solanales; Solanaceae
Description: long non-coding RNA (CANN_LNC006392)
Source: RNAcentral